AGAUGCUCUGCAGUGAGCGCGCCUCUGGGUACCAAAAGUGAGGUGCAAUGGAGUGACGACCUGAGAACCGGGCUUGACCUGAGAACUGAGAAGCGGGUUUAGCCUCGAGAAGACUGUUAGAAGCGCUCAACUGUUUAUGCUUCCUCACCGAGAGAAGUCACAAGAAGAAUUUCCCAACACGUAUGCAAACCAGGUGGCUUCCUUCCUCUCUUCUUUGGGUUAGGCAAAGCUAGAGUUUAGCUUAGUAUCCUCCAUUGAUGGUGGAUAUUUCUCUCCCUCUCUAUCUCUCUAUGUGUUGUUUGAGACAACGUUUCUCUGUAUAACAGUCCUGGCUGUCCUGGAACUCACUUUGUAGACUAGGUUGGCCUCGAACUCUUACUAGUUUUCAAUGUUAGUACUCUAAAUAAACUCGAAGACGACUCCUGUAUCACAGAGAGACCAUAAUUUCAUUACGGUUUUAUUAUUAAUGAUUUUAACAGAGUUAGUAACAUUGAGCAUAAUAGCUAUGGAAAGUGAACUUGGGAUUCACUCAGCAGUGGUUAAGUUGAGCUAUUUUAUUCCCUAUGUCAUGUUAUUUAGUUAUGCAUUAAAAUGAAUUACUUUGAGCAGAAACAAAGUGAACUCUGGGUAAUAAAUACAUCAGUCUGUUUUAUUCUUUUUAAGGAUUUAUUUAUGGGUACGUGCCUGUAUGCUAUCUGUGUGCAAGUGUCCAGAGUGACCAGAAGAAGGCAUCAGAUCCUCUGGAACUGGUGUUACAGGUGGUAGUGAGCCAGUCAGUGUAGGUGCUGGGAACCAGACUCAGAGCCUCUGAAAGAAGAGCUGUCUCUAGCCACCAUUUCAGUUACAUUUGUAAAAGAUUUGCUUAUAUUUUUAUUCAGUGUGUGUGUGUGUGUGUGUGAGUGACACGUGUACACAGUGCUUAGGGAUAUCAGAAAGGGGCGUCAGAUGCCUUGGACCUGAAGUUAUAGGCAUUUGAGACAUUUGUGACCCACCCACCAUAGGUGCUGGGAAUGGAACCCAGUCCUCUGGAAGGGCAGUUAAGUGCACCUAAGUGCUAAGCCAUUUCUCUGAAAUACUUUAAAGCACAUUUAUAAAUUCCUGAGGUAUGAGUUUGAUUUUCUGUUUAUAAGGCAUACUAUAUUCAAGAGACAUUAUGAAUGACAGGCUAAAUGUCCACAGUUAAGUCUUUUGUGUCCUCAUUCACUUCUUUUAAAACAUAAGUUUGUUGUUUUUAGUCUGUCAUUGGUAACUGCGAAGUGUUCUCGUAAAUGGAAGGCUCUAUUCUGGCUUUUGUUUCUUUUGGAUGGAUGAUGAAGAUUGUGGCUAACACUGAUAACUAGUACUUUUUAUUUCUGUAGCAUUGUUUAUUUAUUUUAUUUUAUUUUAUUUUAUUUUACUUUGAUACAGUGUCUUGCUACGUAGCCUGGCCUCUUCUGGACUUCGUCAUCUUCUUUCAGCUUCCUGAGUGCUGGGAUUAUAGGAAGGAGCCACUACAUUCAGCCAGUCAGUUUAAAUAGAGUUCCACCUUUCCCCGUAAGAAAUAUACUGUUACAUAUCUGCUUUACAGAUGUGCAAAGUGAUGAAUUGUGCAGUUAGCAUAAAUCCUGAGAACUAGCCAGAUGUCCUGAACUUGUAUCCAGUCUCUAGAACAAUGACAGUCUCCAAUCAAGCUUUAGACACUGUGUUCAUAACAUUCCUCUCCCACUAACUGAGUUCUACAACCUUUUUUCAACACUACAGACACCACCCACUCCACUAAGAUUUCCUAGCUAUGGACAGUGAGUUUUUUGUACAAUAUUUAAAGUAAAAUAGUGAGUUAGUUUACCCACCACCUAGCUUGGGAGGAAACAUCACCAUUUCUGUUGGGAGCCUUGUGGAGCCAUUCUCUCUAUCACAACUACGGUCUUCUUCCACACCGAGACAACUGUGUCACCAAGCCUUCUGUGCCUCUCUGCAGUGGGUGUCUUAAUAGUUCUGCCAUUUGUACAUGGCCCUCUAGCAAAUUUUUCCUAGUUACUGUUCUUUUUGCUAGGUUCGUCCAUGUUGAUACAUGGUGGAGAAUUUUGUAUAAUUCAUUUAUUUUCUUAAUGUAGCUGUCCAUCAUUUUCUUAAACCUUCCUCUCCCUGUCCUUGUUGAAGUUAAUUUUUUGUGUUCUGCCAGUCCCUUUUCAGUCUCUCUCAUCUUUCUGCUUGUCCAUCCUAAGUGGAAAGCCAGAGAGUUCUCAGAUCUGUGUCCUUUAGCUUAGCAGUUAGAUGCUUUCAUCAUUGGAAUACCUCUUGUCUUGUUUCUUGCUGCACUUCUUCCUGACUUCUCUGAACACAAAGCAUUGCUGGAAGUUUCCAAUAGUCUUUCCUGCACCUUUAAUUUUUUUCAAAUCUUAUUUUUAAUGAUGGUUCUUAAAUGCUUUAACCUUCCAUGUAACCCACCACCCACCAGAUACAGGGUGAAAUAGAAAGGGUACGGGGGACCUAGACCUGUUUAGAAAGGUUCUUUGAAGCAAUUCCUGUCUGUUUUUCUUGGAAAUCAGCAGUUCAGUUCACAGGUUAGCAGGCAGUGACAGCUUGAUCUACUCACAAACACUUCACGGAUACACCAGCAGUCCAAUUCAGUAGAGUCCGGUUAGCAAUAGUGGUGACAUAACCUAGCCGAGACAGCCAGGCCUCAGCCUUGACUGAAGUCAGCAGGAGGGACCUGGAGGGAGACCAGAAGUUCUCAACUGUGUCUCUUGGAGAAGUGAAGAUCAGUGAAGAUGGGAGACCCACAAGCGUUGCACAAAGGCUGUGCCAGCCAACCAAACUCUGUCUCUCACUCUGUGGAGUCCUAUUUAUACCCUCCAAACAUCACAUGUCCUCCACGUGUCUUGCCUCAGCAUGGGUCUUGCCUUAGAGUCAUUGGAAGUGGCAACAAACUACAGCACACCACUGGAAGUUUUUUGGUGUGUUUCUCUCUAUGGAUUUCUGAUAAAUGCAGCUCAACUCUGCAACAUAAGGUGGACCAAUACAUGUGUGUUGUUAGCAAAGAAUCCUCUAUCACGUGUCCUUUCACAUACUUACUUUAGCAGAACAUCCUCUCUCCUGUGUCUGAGUCCGCCUUAGCCUUUGACAUCUGUCCACUUUAACAAAACUUUCCUUCACACGUUUGCCCCACCAAAACACUAUCCAACCGACUUUCCAAUGAACCCUUAAGUUUCCACUUCACUCUCCUUCCUGUUGGGCCUAUACACACAGUGCUCCUUUAUUUCGUUGGAUAACUUCACCCCAUCCUCAGCCCGUGCCAGUGGUUUGAAUGAAAUGGCUCCCAUAGGUCCUUAGGGAAUGGUACUGUUAGGAGGUGUGGCCUUGGAGUACGUGUAGACUUAUGGGAGGAAGUAUGUAACUGGGGGUGGGCUUUGAUGCUCAUGCCAGGCCAAGUGUCACUCUUUCUCUUUCUUCCUGCUGCCUUUGAAUUUGAAUGUGGAACUCACAGCUCUUUCUCCAGCACCAUGUCUGCCUGCAUGCCACCACGAUUGGCACCAUGAUAACAAUGGAAUAAGCAUCUGAACUUUAUGACAGACCCCAAUUAAAUGUUGUCCUUUAUUAG
Molecule: long non-coding RNA, 3580 nt
Filed under: Mus musculus (house mouse)
Lineage: Eukaryota; Metazoa; Chordata; Mammalia; Rodentia; Muridae
Description: long non-coding RNA chr19:15985099-15988679
Source: RNAcentral